Molecule: unclassified non-coding RNA, 789 nt
Filed under: Hevea brasiliensis (rubber tree)
Lineage: Eukaryota; Viridiplantae; Streptophyta; Magnoliopsida; Malpighiales; Euphorbiaceae
Source: RNAcentral
UGUUGUCCAGAUUAACCUUCUUUGGUGAGAAGGAAUCCUCAAACUCAGGCCUUCAAAUGUACAGGAAAACAGCUGAAGCUGUGAUGUGUGGCCUUAUACCGGAUUCUCCAUCUGCCACAACCAGCAGAACUGACAGUGGACUUAUAUGGGUCAGUGAAUGGAACGCUUUACAACAUCCUGUUGCUUCUGCAUUUUUAGCUACUCUUUAUAGUGACUACAUGCUUACAUCGAAGACCACUAACCUAUCAUGCAAUGGAGAAUCAUACAAGCCAGCAGAUCUUCGGAAAUUUGCCAAGUCCCAGGCUGAUUACGUCUUGGGCAACAAUCCUCUGAAAAUGAGCUUUCUAGUUGGAUAUGGUGACAAAUACCCACAGUACGUGCACCAUAGGGGAGCUUCAAUCCCAGCUGAUGCAACGACUGGCUGCAAGGAUGGCUGGCAAUGGCUUGAUUUAGAGGAACCCAAUCCCAACGUAGCUGUUGGAGCACUUGUAGGUGGGCCCUUCCUAAAUGAAACAUACGUUGAUUCUAGGAACAACUCAAUGCAAGGGGAACCAAGCACAUAUAACAGUGGACUAAUUGUUGGGCUGCUGUCGAGCCUGAUCACCACCUCUCCAGCAGUUCAAUCCUUCACCUAAAUCAAUCUGGGUACAUAUACAGUGACACAUUGUUUGUAUUUUAUGUAGUUGUUACUUGCCAGGGUUGCUAUUUGAUAUCAUAUUUUGUUCCACACUGAAACCUGAGUUGGGGUUCUUGUGUAAGAAGCAUUCGUAUUUAGGGUUAUUCCACCGA